This 451-nucleotide ribosomal RNA is filed under the name uncultured bacterium. Its description in RNAcentral is "bacterial SSU rRNA". It matches the Rfam family "Bacterial small subunit ribosomal RNA", at positions 354 to 796 of the family's 1533-position model. The record is from RNAcentral.
GUGGGGAAUUUUGCGCAAUGGGGGAAACCCUGACGCAGCAACGCCGCGUGAGUGAUGAAGGCCUUCGGGUCGUAAAGCUCUUUUAGUGGGGAAGAAUCCCACCCGGGCUAAUACCUCGGGUGUCUGACGGUACCCACAGAAAAAGUUCCGGCUAACUACGUGCCAGCAGCCGCGGUAAUACGUAGGGAGCAAGCGUUGUUCGGAAUUAUUGGGCGUAAAGAGCGCGUAGGCGGUUCGGUAAGUCUGACGUGAAAUCCCAGAGCUUAACUCUGGAACUGCGUUGGAUACUGCCGAGCUUGAGUGUGGGAGAGGAGAGUGGAAUUCCCAGUGUAGAGGUGAAAUUCGUAGAUAUUGGGAGGAACACCCGUGGCGAAGGCGGCUCUCUGGACCACAACUGACGCUGAGGCGCGAAAGCUAGGGUAGCAAACGGGAUUAGAAACCCCAGUAGUCC